This 254-nucleotide ribosomal RNA is filed under the name uncultured bacterium. RNAcentral describes it as "partial 16S ribosomal RNA". It matches the Rfam family "Bacterial small subunit ribosomal RNA", at positions 524 to 776 of the family's 1533-position model. The record is from RNAcentral.
UACGUAGGGGACGAGCGUUGUCCGGAGUUACUGGGCGUAAAGCGCCCGCAGGCGGUCCGCUCAGUUUGCGCUGACAGCUCCUGGCUUAACUGGGAGAGCGGUGCGAAGACGGGCGGACUGAGAGGACCAGAGAGGGACAUGGAACUCCGGGUGUAGUGGUGAAAUGCGUAGAUAUCCGGAAGAACACCAAAGGCGAAGGCAGUGUCCUGGCUGGUACCUGACGCUGAGGGGCGAAAGCUAGGGGAGCAAACGGG